This 705-nucleotide long non-coding RNA is filed under the name Volvox carteri. Its description in RNAcentral is "long non-coding RNA (VCAR_LNC000765)". Lineage: Eukaryota; Viridiplantae; Chlorophyta; Chlorophyceae; Chlamydomonadales; Volvocaceae. The record is from RNAcentral.
UUGCACUUUUUAAGUUGUAGCCGCUGUGUAUGUAUGUUGCUACCCCGCCAUGUCAAGGCCGUGGCCCAUUUUACAUAAUUUUGUGAAAUCAUAUAUUCAAUUCUGGUAGGAGUGCAUGAUCGUCGCCCUUUCGUUGAAACCUCGACGCUUGCCAACCAACUGCAUCGGGACGUUGCCCUUCCCGCACAAGUCGUCUAGAGUCUCGACAGUAUUCCUGUGGCCAAGGCAUACCACCAGACAGGCAACAUGUUUUACGUUCUCAAUUGUGCUUUAGGUCCUCGUCGACAGGCAUCGGCCAUACAGACACGGAGCCGUUUACGACCUUGAUGCCAACACAGGUCUUCCUCCCUGAAAGGCAGUACCCAGAUCAGUGCCACGAUGCCUUACAUGCAUAAUCGCGCUUUUGUAACUACAUGCCUGGUCCCCCACCAAGUUGUGUCUGGCUAAUCUGAGGGGUGCGGUGGACAAAAUGUCACUUGUGCGUGUUGUGAUUUCGGCCUGACUUCACUGUUUACUUGGUUCACUGUUCCGAUAGGACGCGAACUGCGUCUGGGCCGACCUUUUUUUGGUCUUAUCGUAAGAACAAGAUCUCCAAGUGCUAUUUGUUCUCUGAAGCUACACUGCGUCUUUAGCUGAAUGUAACAAUUAUUGCUUGUCAGGACUUUUGCGUGUCCUUGAGAUUUGAGGCAUAGUGUCAGCUGGCUU